RNAcentral lists this ribosomal RNA (1372 nucleotides) under unidentified marine bacterioplankton. Its description in RNAcentral is "bacterial SSU rRNA". It matches the Rfam family "Bacterial small subunit ribosomal RNA", at positions 9 to 1371 of the family's 1533-position model. The record is from RNAcentral.
GAGUUUGAUCAUGGCUCAGAUUGAACGCUGGCGGCAGGCCUAACACAUGCAAGUCGAACGGUAACAGGAAACAGCUUGCUGUUUCGCUGACGAGUGGCGGACGGGUGAGUAAUGUCUGGGAAACUGCCUGAUGGGGGGGGAUAACUACUGGAAACGGUAGCUAAUACCGCAUAACGUCGCAAGACCAAAGAGGGGGACCCUCGGGCCUCUUGCCAUCGGAUGUGCCCAGAUGGGAUUAGCUUGUUGGUGGGGUAACGGCUCACCAAGGCGACGAUCCCUAGCUGGUCUGAGAGGAUGACCAGCCACACUGGAACUGAGACACGGUCCAGACUCCUACGGGAGGCAGCAGUGGGGAAUAUUGCACAAUGGGCGCAAGCCUGAUGCAGCCAUGCCGCGUGUAUGAAGAAGGCCUUCGGGUUGUAAAGUACUUUCAGCGGGGAGGAAGGGAGUAAAGUUAAUACCUUUGCUCAUUGACGUUACCCGCAGAAGAAGCACCGGCUAACUCCGUGCCAGCAGCCGCGGUAAUACGGAGGGUGCAAGCGUUAAUCGGAAUUACUGGGCGUAAAGCGCACGCAGGCGGUUUGUUAAGUCAGAUGUGAAAUCCCCGGGCUCAACCUGGGAACUGCAUCUGAUACUGGCAAGCUUGAGUCUCGUAGAGGGGGGUAGAAUUCCAGGUGUAGCGGUGAAAUGCGUAGAGAUCUGGAGGAAUACCGGUGGCGAAGGCGGCCCCCUGGACGAAGACUGACGCUCAGGUGCGAAAGCGUGGGGAGCAAACAGGAUUAGAUACCCUGGUAGUCCACGCCGUAAACGAUGUCGACUUGGAGGUUGUGCCCUUGAGGCGUGGCUUCCGGAGCUAACGCGUUAAGUCGACCGCCUGGGGAGUACGGCCGCAAGGUUAAAACUCAAAUGAAUUGACGGGGGCCCGCACAAGCGGUGGAGCAUGUGGUUUAAUUCGAUGCAACGCGAAGAACCUUACCUGGUCUUGACAUCCACGGAAGUUUUCAGAGAUGAGAAUGUGCCUUCGGGAACCGUGAGACAGGUGCUGCAUGGCUGUCGUCAGCUCGUGUUGUGAAAUGUUGGGUUAAGUCCCGCAACGAGCGCAACCCUUAUCCUUUGUUGCCAGCGGUCCGGCCGGGAACUCAAAGGAGACUGCCAGUGAUAAACUGGAGGAAGGUGGGGAUGACGUCAAGUCAUCAUGGCCCUUACGACCAGGGCUACACACGUGCUACAAUGGCGCAUACAAAGAGAAGCGACCUCGCGAGAGCAAGCGGACCUCAUAAAGUGCGUCGUAGUCCGGAUUGGAGUCUGCAACUCGACUCCAUGAAGUCGGAAUCGCUAGUAAUCGUGGAUCAGAAUGCCACGGUGAAUACGU